UACAGAGGCCCCAAGCGUUACCCGGAAUUACUGGGCGUAAAGAGUGCGUAGGUUGUCGUAUUAGUCGCCUGUUAAAUACCCGGGCUUAACCUGGGAGAUGCGGGCGAAACGGUACGACUGGAGGACGUGAGAGGUGAAUGGAACUCAUGGUGUAGGGGUGAAAUCCGUUGAUAUCAUGGGGAACACCGAAAGCGAAGGCAAUUCACUGGCGCGUUCCUGACACUCAAGCACGAAAGCGUGGGUAGCGAACGGG
This 253-nucleotide unclassified non-coding RNA is filed under the name uncultured Parcubacteria group bacterium. Its description in RNAcentral is "contains 16S-23S intergenic spacer region". It matches the Rfam family "Bacterial small subunit ribosomal RNA", at positions 524 to 776 of the family's 1533-position model. The record is from RNAcentral.